This 628-nucleotide unclassified non-coding RNA is filed under the name Hevea brasiliensis (rubber tree). Lineage: Eukaryota; Viridiplantae; Streptophyta; Magnoliopsida; Malpighiales; Euphorbiaceae. The record is from RNAcentral.
GAAAAAUCUUUAAAGUAAAAACCAAAAACUAAACAGAAAAGAAUAUGGCAUACAACAAAAGUAGGUGUUCUCAAAAUAGUAAAAGGAGUUUCUGUUCCAAACAUACAAGAAACCGUAAUGCAACAAUAUCUAAGAUAUCCUAUGUUAUGGUCAUAACCUGAAUGGACUGGAAAAUUGUUCUGGCAGUAGAAAUUGGAAUGAUAUCUGAUACCACCAAAAUAGCAUCAUCCUUCUUUAUCAUCCCCUUUGCUUUUAUAAGUUCGACUGUUUUCUUAACGUUUCCUUCCAUGUCGUCUGAAAGGUCAGUGAGAAGGGGAGUAACUCCCCAUUGCAAAUUGAGAGCCAUCUGUGUGCUGUUGUCGUUUGUGAAGGCAAAUAUUGGAGGGUUUGGACGAUUGCGUGAGAGAAGAGAUGCCAUCUUCCCAUGCCUUGUGUACACAAAUAUAGCAUCCACCCCUAGGUUGUCAGCCAUUUCCACUGCACAAUGGCAGAUUUGCUCAGCAAUUUGAUCUGGUAAAGAUGCUCCAAGUUUGCGCUGAUGCAAUAAAGUUUGCCUGCUCUCUUCGCGACAUGAUUGUUCCAUUCGGGUGCUAGUUGUACGCAAGACAGAAAGAGCCUUCAUUCCAUA